UGGUAAAAGAGCUGUGUUCUUCAUAUGGAAACUCUAAUCAAUCAUCAAUCACUUCAAAAUCUUCUACAAAAUUAUGAACACGUAUCAAAACCCUAAUUGACAGCCGUAUUCAAUCAAAAUUGUAGUUUCUCAUACCUAUCAAAACCCUAAUUGAAACAUCAACCAUGAUAGAGGCAGCGAAACCAGGCAGUGGUUGUGUCUAGCGGCGGCAGUGGUGGUCUAAUGUUGAUGGUGGAGGAGUCGCGACAGCAGUGGGUUUGUGGUACUGGAAUCUUCAUCUCAAUCAUUCCCUACUCCAUCUAAUGUUUUACAGUGAUGUUGAAAGAAGAUGCAUACAUGGAAAUUUAUAUUAUGGGUUUAUGUAAGCAUACAUGGAAUUGUAUGCACAUGACUGGUACAAGAACAUUAUUAAGGCCCCUUCUAAAAAAAACACUACUGAAUAUUUUCUUUUGUUUGUUUUAUUUCAACUUAGAUUGAAUGGGUUAGGGAAAAUUGGGUAUUUUGAUAUGAUUAGAUAACUUUAUCCAGCAUAGGGCAUAAAGAUCAACUUGAACUAUUGAUAAAAGGUUUGAAUUUUUAUAUGUGUCUGAGUUUAGUGAGAGAGCUGUGAGUGAGGAUGAUGAUGAUGAUGUUUGUUUAAAAUAAUAAAAGUGGUGUGGGGAAAAAAAUGAUCAACGUCUUUAGUUGGUAGUUUGAUUUCUCAGAGUAUUAUUGGUCUCAUGAUGACGAAGAAAUUGUGUCUGAGGAUGAUAUAUCUGAUGAUGAUGAUGGAAAUGCUGACAGCAUUCGUGUUAUGUGGGACAAAUUAACGCCUCGAGAUACCAUGAAGAACGCUGGUGUUCCAACCGUACCAAGAAGUGAUGGGCUAUUACAGCACUGAAGAAGGCAUCAAGUUAGCUGACGAGAUAGGCUUCCCUGUGAUGAUUAAGUCAAAUACAUUGGAAGAACUCAAGCCUUUGUUAAAUCACAAACUGCUGGAUGAAUUGGUUAGCAUCUCGCAUAGAAGGAAGAGUGGUUUUUACUACCAAUGUUCGUGAAGUUGGCCUUUCAAUGGUACUUGGAGCUUUUCUUGCUGCUUUGCUACUUGCGAAAACUGAAUUUUGUUUACAAUUCUAAUCAGAUUUUGCUCCAUAGCGUGGCCUUCUAUUAGGUCCAUAGCGUGGCUUACUUGGUGUUUCAAGUGCUUUACCAUAUAGAGGUCAAUGUAUCAAUAAUAAAAAAAUCAGUUUAAGUAUCAAAAUUAAUCUUAAGAUUAUAUCAUGGAUGGCGAGAAUGUAAAUUAUCAGUGAGUAUGCUUAGUGUCUAAAUCAUUUAGAUUUUCUUUUUUGAUUGAAAAAAAAUGUGCAAUCUUUUACUUUAGUGCAUUGAUGUAUAAAUAAUGCAUAUCUUAUGUGCAGGUAGGUAUAUGUGCACUUUAGGAAAGGAAACUUAAGGAACUGAAUCUAGUCAUGAGAAAUAUUACUUGAGAUCUGUAUAAUUUCAUUGAUGGCCUUGCUGACUUGACUUUGUAUACCCUUUUAAUUAGGGAUGAGCAUUUGGUACCGUGUACCAGUACCGAACUGUACCGGUAUAUUCAGUACCGGUACGGGUACCAAUUUUCUCUGUUUUCCGGAACAGGUACCGGUUCGAUACCAAACGGGUACCGUGCUCAUCUCUACUUUUAAUUAGACUUGAUGUCUUGCCUUUGAUGAUCAUGAAUAAGGAAUUUGUUUUCGCUUUA
This is a long non-coding RNA of Helianthus annuus (common sunflower), 1720 nucleotides long. RefSeq lists it as uncharacterized. The transcript is spliced from 6 exons. Lineage: Eukaryota; Viridiplantae; Streptophyta; Magnoliopsida; Asterales; Asteraceae. The record is from RefSeq and is a predicted model, not a curated record.